Molecule: long non-coding RNA, 784 nt
Filed under: Elaeis guineensis (African oil palm)
Lineage: Eukaryota; Viridiplantae; Streptophyta; Magnoliopsida; Arecales; Arecaceae
Description: long non-coding RNA (EGUI_LNC078404)
Source: RNAcentral
UCUCUAAAAAGGUUAGUGAAUGACGAAAUUUCUUUUAAUAGUCUUGAUCUGAUUCUAAUGAAGAACCCUGAUCCAUGGUUGUCGGGCAGUGUACUGGUACUUACCUUGAUCAGAUCUGAUAUUUAUCAAUUUAAUUAUCCAUGAUUUCGAUCUAGCUAUGACUUGAUUUGAUCAUGUUGAUUUCAUCAAUCGAGAUAUUGGAUCAAUCGUAAUGUUGGAUUGUGUCACCUGAUCAAUUCGAAUUGUACCUCAUGAAUUCUCUCUCCUCUGAUUUUUUUUCUCUACUUGAUUUUAUGAAAUCGAUGAAGAAACCUCGAUCCUAUCACUUCGAAUCCGAUUUGAUUUGAUAGUCAAACUUUGGAUCGUUUAGGUCCUAAUUAGAUUUUGAUUAGAUGAAAUGAGAUGAUCGGACCCAAUCCAAGCCGUUGAAAUAUGGUAUUCGUAUUCUUUUUAAUUAUUGAAAUUGAUUCUGUACAGGAUUGUGGAUGUUUGAUCAUGGGAUAUCGCGAUAUGAUCUACGAACAAAAUUUUUGGAAGAAAAUUUAUAGAAUUAUGUGGAUUUAUUGGAAUGCGUUCGAGGUAAGUAAUGUUUCACUUUUUCUAGAUUUAUCGACAAAUUAUAAUGUAUUUUUCUGACAUGAUUUGUGAAACGAUGCAUGAAUUGGAUGAAUGGUAUUUUGCUAUGAAAAUAUCUUAUUUAAAAUGUUAUGAUGAAGCAUGAUUGAACAUAUUGAUUUCAUGAUGCAUUAUAUUGAUUGAUUUCGAUACUACAUGAUUAUAUAUU